CUGCUGCCUCCCGUAGGAGUUUGGGCCGUGUCUCAGUCCCAAUGUGGCCGUCCGCCCUCUCAGGCCGGCUACUGAUCGUCGCUUUGGUAGGCCGUUACCCUGCCAACUGGCUAAUCAGACGCGGGUCCAUCGUAUACCACCUCGGUUUUUCACACUGUCCCAUGCGGAACCGUGCGCUUAUGCGGUAUUAGCACCUAUUUCUAAGUGUUAUCCCCCUGUAUACGGCAGGUUACCCACGCGUUACUCACCCGUCCGCCACUAAGUUAU
RNAcentral lists this ribosomal RNA (267 nucleotides) under uncultured bacterium. Its description in RNAcentral is "partial 16S ribosomal RNA". The record is from RNAcentral.